AGAGUUUGAUCCUGGCUCAGGAUGAACGCUGGCGGCGUGCUUAACACAUGCAAGUCGAACGAACCUUCGGGUUAGUGGCGGACGGGUGAGUAACGCGUGAGAAUCUGCCCUCAGGAGGGGGAUAACGGCUGGAAACGGCCGCUAAUACCCCAUAUGCCGAGAGGUGAAAUGAAUUUCGCCUGAGGAUGAGCUCGCGUCUGAUUAGCUAGUUGGUGUGGUAAAGGCUCACCAGGGCAUCGAUCAGUAGCUGGUCUGAGAGGAUGAUCAGCCACACUGGGACUGAGACACGGCCCAGACUCCUACGGGAGGCAGCAGUGGGGAAUUUUCCGCAAUGGGCGCAAGCCUGACGGAGCAACGCCGCGUGAGGGAUGAAGGCCUCUGGGCUGUAAACCUCUUUUAUCAAGGAAGAAGAUCUGACGGUACUUGAUGAAUAAGCCACGGCUAAUUCCGUGCCAGCAGCCGCGGUAAUACGGGAGUGGCAAGCGUUAUCCGGAAUUAUUGGGCGUAAAGCGUCCGUAGGCGGUCUUGAAAGUCUGUUGUUAAAGCGUGGAGCUCAACUCCAUUUCAGCAAUGGAAACUAGAAGACUAGAGUGUGGUAGGGGCAGAGGGAAUUCCCGGUGUAGCGGUGAAAUGCGUAGAUAUCGGGAAGAACACCAGUGGCGAAGGCGCUCUGCUGGGCCAUAACUGACGCUCAUGGACGAAAGCCAGGGGAGCGAAAGGGAUUAGAUACCCCUGUAGUCCUGGCCGUAAACGAUGAACACUAGGUGUCGGGGGAAUCGGCCCCCUCGGUGUCGUAGCCAACGCGUUAAGUGUUCCGCCUGGGGAGUACGCACGCAAGUGUGAAACUCAAAGGAAUUGACGGGGGCCCGCACAAGCGGUGGAGUAUGUGGUUUAAUUCGAUGCAACGCGAAGAACCUUACCAGGGUUUGACAUCCUGCGAAUCCCUUGGAAACUUGGGAGUGCCUUCGGGAGCGCAGUGACAGGUGGUGCAUGGCUGUCGUCAGCUCGUGUCGUGAGAUGUUGGGUUAAGUCCCGCAACGAGCGCAACCCACGUCUUUAGUUGCCAGCAUUAAGUUGGGCACUCUAGAGAGACUGCCGGUGAUAAACCGGAGGAAGGUGUGUAUGACGUCAAGUCAUCAUGCCCCUUACAUCCUGGGCUACACACGUACUACAAUGCUACGGACAAAGGGCAGCAAACUCGCGAGAGCUAGCAAAUCCCAUAAACCGUGGCUCAGUUCAGAUCGUAGGCUGCAACUCGCCUACGUGAAGGAGGAAUCGCUAGUAAUCGCAGGUCAGCAUACUGCGGUGAAUACGUUCCCGGGUCUUGUACAUACCGCCCGUCACACCAUGGAAGUUGGCCACGCCCGAAGUCGUUACUCCAACCCGCAAGGGAGGAGGAUGCCGAAGGUGGGGCUGAUGACUGGGGUGAAGUCGUAACAAGGUA
Molecule: ribosomal RNA, 1444 nt
Filed under: metagenome
Description: bacterial SSU rRNA
Rfam family: Bacterial small subunit ribosomal RNA
Source: RNAcentral